UGGGGGAUAAUGUCGACAUUUCCACUC
Molecule: non-coding RNA, 27 nt
Filed under: Mus musculus (house mouse)
Lineage: Eukaryota; Metazoa; Chordata; Mammalia; Rodentia; Muridae
Source: RNAcentral